RNAcentral lists this long non-coding RNA (2449 nucleotides) under Lonchura striata (white-rumped munia). RNAcentral's name for it is "domestica (Bengalese finch) lncRNA (ENSLSDG00000002963.1)". Lineage: Eukaryota; Metazoa; Chordata; Aves; Passeriformes; Estrildidae. The record is from RNAcentral.
UGGGAGGGACUGGGGGGUGCUGGGAGGGCACUGGGGGGUUACUGGGAGGGACUGGGAGGUACUGGGAGGGAACUGGGAGCACUGGGGCUGCCCCUCCCCCAAGGAGCCGGGGCUGCGGCACCGGGAGCUUUAUUGGGGACGGGGGAGGGGACAGGUGUGACACGGGUGUGGCACGGGUGUGGCACGGGUGUGACACGGGUGUGGCACAGGUGUGACACGGGUGUGGCACAGAUGAGGGGACAGGUGAGGGCCAGCACGGUGCCAGGUGCCGGUGCCACGGGGCAGGGGUGACACGGGUGACACCAGUGCCAGGGGCAGGUGCCACAGGUGUGCCACAGGUGUGUCCCAGGUGUGCCACAGGUGUGUCACAGGUGUCCCAGGUGUCCCAGGUGUCCCUCAGGUGGCCACCGGGGGCAGCCCCACCUGAGCCGUCAGCAGAGGCCCCUCCCGGCCCGGGCACAGCACCAGCACCUGGGGGGGGGAGGGCACCUGGUGACACCCCUGGGUGUGCCUGACCCCCCAGGUGUCCCAGGUGUGUCCCAGGUGUGUCUGACCCCCCCCCAGCUGUCCCCAGGUGUGUCCCCAGGUGUGCCUGACCCCCCAGGUGUGUCCCAGCUGUCCCCAGCUGUCCCAGGUGUGUCCCAGGUGUGUCCCAGGUGUCCCAGGUGUGUCCCAGGUGUCCCCAGGUGUCCCAGGUGUGUCCCCAGGUGUCCCAGGUGUCCCCCAGGUGUGUCCCAGCUGUCCCCAGGUGUCCCCAGGUGUCCUAGGUGUGCCCCAGGUGUGUCCCAGGUGUGUCCCAGGUGUGUCCCCAGGUGUCCCAGGUGUGUCCCAGGUGUGUCCCAGGUGUGUCCCAGCUGUCCCCAGGUGUCCCAGCUGUCCCAGGUGUGUCCCAGGUGUCCCCAGCUGUCCCAGGUGUGUCCCAGGUGUGUCCCAGCUGUCCCAGGUGUCCCCAGCUGUCCCCAGCUGUCCCCAGGUGUGUCCCAGGUGUCCCAGGUGUGUCCCAGGUGUCCCAGGUGUCCCAGGUGUCCCCAGAUGUGUCCCAGGUGUCCCCAGCUGUCCCCAGCUGUCCCCAGCUGUCCCAGGUGUCCCAGGUGUGUCCCAGCUGUCCCCAGGUGUGUCCCAGGUGUUCCCAGGUGUGUCCCAGCUGUCCCAGGUGUGUCCCAGGUGUCCCAGCUGUCCCCAGCUGUCCCAGGUGUGUCCCAGCUGUCCCAGGUGUGUCCCAGCUGUCCCAGGUGUCCCAGGUGUGAUCCAGGUGUGUCCCCUCACCUGCAGCCGGGCCGGGCCCUGCCCGGGUUCCAGCCAGGUCCCGAGGCAGCAGCGCAGCCCCGGCAGCAGCAGCGGCACCUGGGGGGGCAGAAAUUGGGGAUUUGGGGGAUUUGGGGCAUUUUGGGGGCUUUGGGGCAUUCUGGGGGGUUUGGGGCAUUUUGGGGGGUUUGGGGAAUUUUUUAGGUUAUUUUGGGGGUAUUUGGGGGGAUUUUGGGGUAUUUUGGGUUAUUUUUGCAGGGAUUUUUGCGGGGAUUUUGGGGUAUUUUGGGUUAUUUUUGGAGGGAUUUUUGGGGGGAUUUUGGGGUAUUUCGGGUUAUUUUUGCAGGGAUUUUUGGGGGGAUUUUGGGGUAUUUUGGGGGGAUUUUGGGGUAUUUUUGGAGGGAUUUUGGGGCAUUCUGGGGGGUUUGGAGCAUUUCUUAAGAUUGUUUUGGGAUGAUUUGGGGGGAUUUUGGGGUUAUUUGGGGUAUGUCGGGGUAAUUUUGGGUGGUUUUAGGGUAUUUUGGGGUGGUUUCAGGGUAUUUUUGGGGGUUUUUGGGGUACCUUGAGGCAGGGGGGCUGAGGCCGUUUUGGGGUGGUUUUGGGGGUAUUUUUGGGUGGUUUCAGGGUAUUUUUGGGUUUUUUGGGGUACCUUGAGGCAGGGGGGCUGCAGCCGUUUUGGGGGGAUUUUGGGUGUAUUUUUGGGUGGUUUUGGGGGUAUUUUUGGGUGGUUUCAGGGUAUUUUUGGGUGGUUUUAGGGUAUUUUUGGGUGGUUUCAGGGUAUUUUUGGGUGGUUUUAGGGUAUUUUUGGGUGGUUUCAGGGUAUUUUUGGGUGGUUUCAGGGUAUUUUUGGGGGUUUUUGGGUGUAUUUUUGGGUGGUUUCAGGGUAUUUUUGGGGGUUUUUGGGGUACCUUGAGGCAGGGGGGCUGCAGCCGUUUUGGGGGGGGGUGGCAGCGCAGCAGCAGCACCAGGUUGGGGGUCGGGGGGGCCCCCCCGGGCAGCAGCACCCCCAAAGUCAGGCGCAGGCGGGGCCCCAGCCCCUGCACCUGGGGGGAGAAAACUGGGGGGUCAGGGACCCCAAAAACCCUCCCGGGGACCCCAAAAUCCCCCCGAGAAAUCCCAAAAAUCCCCCCAGAAAUCCCAAAACCCUCCCAGGGACCCCAAAACCCUCCCAGGGACCCCAAAACCCUUCCGGGGACCCCAAAAA